GGGAGCAUUUUUGCUAGUUGGAGGACUUUAUUGCGUGCUAUGGGGAAAGACGAAAGAGGAAGAAAGGGAGAAAGGGAUAUGUCCAGCAAUAAUUGAUGAAGAGAAAGCCGUUAAUGAAGGAUCAAAAGAAGAGACCAUUACAUAGAUAUACAUAUAUUUACAUACACAUACAUAUAAAUAUAUAUAAUAUUUUUCCUCCACAUUCAAGGGCCAUGCUUCUCAAUGGGCACGGGAUUCAUAGUAGGUGUAAAGUUAAGUUC
RNAcentral lists this long non-coding RNA (260 nucleotides) under Olea europaea (common olive). RNAcentral's name for it is "long non-coding RNA (OEUR_LNC000931)". The record is from RNAcentral. Lineage: Eukaryota; Viridiplantae; Streptophyta; Magnoliopsida; Lamiales; Oleaceae.